RNAcentral lists this long non-coding RNA (785 nucleotides) under Rattus norvegicus (Norway rat). RNAcentral's name for it is "long non-coding RNA NONRATT008224". The record is from RNAcentral. Lineage: Eukaryota; Metazoa; Chordata; Mammalia; Rodentia; Muridae.
CUCCUUAAUAGUAGCAAAAUGACAGCUGCUAAUUUGUAGUGAGGUAGCACCGAAAAUAAUGUGAGGGUUGGAAGUCACCACAACAUGAGGAACUGUAUUAAAGGGUCACAACAUUAAGGUGGAGAACCACUGUCACCAGAAGACCCAGUGACACCAGGUGCCUUUUGUGCUGGCCAAAGCAGGAGGAGGAGGACCAGUGUGACUAAGGAAGCAGCAGGAGUGGCCUGAAUGUUCUCCUUUAUUUUGUGACUAAGCCACUCUACUAUGCUCCCAGGCACUGACUCCACCGCUAAAGUGCCAUCAGGAAACUAAUGGUCCCAUGUGGACCUCAGACUUUCCCAGAAGGUUCCACCUCAGUCAUACAGGCGGGAGCUAAUAAACGUGACUUCAGCAGCCAGUUGAGACCCUGGGUAUCUCAAGUCCCCAAGUUGUGCUCACGGGAACCCAACACUUGCUCAAUUAUGCAGUUGCACAAGCUUUGACUCCUGAAAACCAGCUCAUGCCCUAAGGUCAAAGCCUACACCAGAAGCAAGUAGGGCUGCCUUGCUGACGGAAGCCAGGCUUUACUGAAGCACAGCCCUGAGAGCAGAGGAAGGGAGAACCUACAGGCAAAUGGCUAGGAAGGACAAAGGGCCCAGCAGCCACACCCAGCCACACUGGGCCCCAACAGGAAUUGCAAACGCUGACGACAAAUGAUCUGUUUCCACCCAAGUCUGGGCUGCUGUUGGGCACACUGUACGAACAAAGGGCACGAUUCCACUGGAGACUAGAAAAUGGGUCAGAGU